RNAcentral lists this ribosomal RNA (450 nucleotides) under uncultured bacterium. RNAcentral describes it as "bacterial SSU rRNA". It matches the Rfam family "Bacterial small subunit ribosomal RNA", at positions 355 to 796 of the family's 1533-position model. The record is from RNAcentral.
UGGGGAAUUGUUCGCAAUGGGCGCAAGCCUGACGACGCAACGCCGCGUGGAGGAUGAAGACCUUCGGGUCGUAAACUCCUUUCGAUCGAGACGAAUGGCUUCCGGGUGAACAAUCCGGAAGAGUGACGGUACCGAGAGAAGAAGCCCCGGCUAACUCCGUGCCAGCAGCCGCGGUAAUACGGGGGGGGCAAGCGUUGUUCGGAAUUACUGGGCGUAAAGGGCUCGUAGGCGGCCAACUAAGUCAAACGUGAAAUCCCUCGGCUUAACCGGGGAACUGCGCUUGAUACUGGAUGGCUUGAGAUUGGGAGAGGGAUGCGGAAUUCCAGGUGUAGCGGUGAAAUGCGUAGAUAUCUGGAGGAACACCGGUGGCGAAGGCGGCAUCCUGGACCAACACUGACGCUGAAGAGCGAAAGCCAGGGGAGCAAACGGGAUUAGAUACCCGCGUAGUCC